Molecule: ribosomal RNA, 256 nt
Filed under: uncultured bacterium
Lineage: Bacteria
Description: partial 16S ribosomal RNA
Rfam family: Bacterial small subunit ribosomal RNA
Source: RNAcentral
UAAUACGUAGGGGGCAAGCGUUACUCGGAAUUACUGGGCGUAAAGGGUGAGUAGGCGGCUGGGCAAGUCAAGGAUGAAAUCCCGAGGCUCAACUUCGGAACCGUCCUUGAAACUGCUCAGCUUGAGGGUAGUUGAGGAGAGCGGAAUUCCCGGUGGAGCGGUGAAAUGCGUAGAUAUCGGGAGGAACACCUGAGGCGAAGGCGGCUCUCUAAGCUACUCCUGACGCUGAAUCACGAAAGCUAGGGGAGCAAACGGG